This 305-nucleotide ribosomal RNA is filed under the name uncultured bacterium. RNAcentral's name for it is "bacterial SSU rRNA". It matches the Rfam family "Bacterial small subunit ribosomal RNA", at positions 335 to 656 of the family's 1533-position model. The record is from RNAcentral.
ACGGCCUACGGGGGGCAGCAGUGGGGAAUAUUGCACAAUGGGGGGAACCCUGAUGCAGCGACGCCGCGUGGGUGAGGAAGUACUUCGGUAUGUAGAGCCCUAUCAGCAGGGAAGAAAAUGACGGUACCUGACUAAGAAGCUCCGGCUAAAUACGUGCCAGCAGCCGCGGUAAUACGUAUGGAGCAAGCGUUAUCCGGAUUUACUGGGCGUAAAGGGAGCGUAGGCGGCCUGCCAAGUCUGAUGUGAAAUACCGGGGCUCAACCCCGGGGCUGCAUUGGAAACUGGCAGGCUGGAGUGCCGGAGAG